This 468-nucleotide ribosomal RNA is filed under the name uncultured bacterium. RNAcentral describes it as "partial 16S ribosomal RNA". It matches the Rfam family "Bacterial small subunit ribosomal RNA", at positions 28 to 507 of the family's 1533-position model. The record is from RNAcentral.
GACGAACGCUGGCGGCGUGCUUAACACAUGCAAGUCGAACGGACAGGCCCUGCUUUUGUGGGGUGCUCGAGUGGCGAACGGGUGAGUAACACGUGAGUAACCUGCCCUUGACUUUGGGAUAACUUCAGGAAACUGGGGCUAAUACCGGAUAGGAGCUCCUGCUGCAUGGUGGGGGUUGGAAAGUUUCGGCGGUUGGGGAUGGACUCGCGGCUUAUCAGCUUGUUGGUGGGGUAGGGGCUUACCAAGGCUUUGACGGGUAGCCGGCCUGAGCGGGUGGACGGACAGAUCGGGACUGAGCGACGGGCAGCAGUAGUAAGGCAGGCAGCAGGGGCGAAUGUUGGACGAUGGGCGGAAGCCUGAUGCAGGAACGCCGCGUGAGGGAAGACGGCUGUCGGGUUGUAAAACGAAUUCGGCUGGGAAGUAGCGUGAGUGACGGGAAUGGGUAAAGAAGCACCGGCUAACUACGUG